This is a long non-coding RNA of Betta splendens (Siamese fighting fish), 3633 nucleotides long. RefSeq lists it as uncharacterized. The record is from RefSeq and is a predicted model, not a curated record. The transcript is spliced from 3 exons. Lineage: Eukaryota; Metazoa; Chordata; Actinopteri; Anabantiformes; Osphronemidae.
CCUUUGUGGAACGACGGCUCCUUUAAUUUAGACAGAAGUUGACAAAUUCCACUCAGCAGUUAGAUCAAUAAAUCUGCCACUAUCACCUUCAUAAAUUGUGCCGUAUCAAGAGGUUUUACUGUCGGCGCGUGGCAGCAGAGGUCAUUUCCAUAAUCGGACACUUUGCUUAAACACAGCGACUGAAGCGUUAGUAACGGGCCUGUCAGCAUCCGUAACCCAGACAGCGCGUGUCCCAGCGACGCGCUGCUUCCUUUCCAGCCUGGCUGCGGUGCGUUUCCCGCGCUCUGCAGGGGGCCUGCUGGCGUCGACGGACGCCAGCAGGAUCCAGCGCGUCUCCAGUUUGGCUCCCAGCGUUUCCAGACGCUCCAGAGCGUCCUGUUGGUCACACACGUGCACCUGCUGCCUCUCAGCAGAUGACAGUCAGCGAUGUGUCAAUCUCUGGGCUACGCCUCAACAUCCCCGCGUCUCCGAGGGAUGAAAACAGGUCGAAUCCUUCUGCACAUUAAUCCAGAUGGCUGGCUGCAAUUUCAAAAGCCUCAUUGUCAUUCCCUGACAUUUCACAAGCCCCCCUCUGAGUCUUUGCUUAUCUGACUCAUGCUGACUGAAAUGAGGAUUGGAGCAAUAUGGAAUUCAGAUGCCUCGCAGGAUGAUCAGCCGACUUUGUCUCCUGAUACAAUGAGGAUAAUUUUUCUGUCCUGAUUGUCUUUGAAUGCUUAGACAGUAUGUCAAACAUUAACAAAUGAGCAGUAUAAAUCAACACAUUAACUGACAUGACUUCUACAGAAUCUAACAUUGAUAUUUUGAGUUCAUUACUAAUGGAGGCGAGUGACUGAAGGCUGGUUGUGUAUAACCAAUCCAAGCGUCCUCAGAGCUGACUGGAAACAUAUUAUUGUAUGAGUCAGGAACUAAUUUUGUUCGAGCUGUUAACCCUGGCUGCUGGAGUUCAUGGCUGAAGCCAGCUGAGUCCUUGUCUGAUGCCUUUUCCUCAUCACGGGCACUUUAAGUGCUUGUUGAGUCACUGGAUGGUCUAAAGAAAUAAGUUCUAUAUUAAUCACUAGCCUCCUGCUGCACAGGCCUGCUGGAAUCUGACUGGAUGCUGUUCAGAAACAGCUUCGUGGUAUAGUGUCUAAAAUGUCCAUCAUUAGGAAGAAGAAACCCAAGAGAACCAUUACAGUGUAAAAUGAUUAACCUCAAACCAAAGCAGCCAAAGGAAUUUAAUGACCUGAUAAAUACUACACUGAGAAGAUCACUAAUAAAAUGUCACAUAUAAUGUUUAUUUCAUUAACGUUAAUGUUUUUAACCGGUGUUAUUCUGGUAAACAUCAAAGUGCUGGAGAAUUUGUCUGAAACACAAAACCCUGAAGACCUAAAUUAAAAAUUGAUGUUAGAUUACUCAAUAGCAAAAGUUAUUGAAUAUCUAUAGAUCAAUAAUCAGGAGUAAACACGCUGACAGAGCUGUACUCCUCCUGCAGUGGCCUUUUCCCUUGUGUCCUCUCAGGUUUGUGUGUUUACUGUAACUGAGAUUAAAGCCACGCAAUCCUGAUAUCACAGUCAGACAUUUCUGAGAAUUAAGGUGAUUUACACAUUUCUAAUUUUAAUCUCUGAUCUGAACAUGUAGCUUAUGAGUGAUGGUGCGUCCUAAACACACACUGAAGAGGCUCCAGGAAACCACCGCUGGUUUAACUGCAGUAGGAGUCCACAGAUGCAGAUGUUGACCGUGUGGAGUUUUUGUGUCUUUACCUCCACUGAUGCACAUCAUAAAACCUGACAUCAGAAACUGAUGACACAUCCAUCUUUUACCCUAACGGCUCCUCCUUGGCACCAGUUAACCUGCAUGUGUUUGGACUGACAGAGGAACAGAGGAACAGCGGCCCUGCGAGGAGGCGACAGCGCUAACAACUGGGUGAUAUAAUAAAAACAACACAAACAGUAGCAUAAGACAGCGUCAUCUCCAAAGGAGUCACUCCGCCGAGUGACACUGUAAUCAUGUUUACAGAUGGCCUCCCAUUAACCCCGGCCGACGAGAUGCCCUUAAGGUUAUUUAUGACCGGCAAGAUUGACCCAAGGUAAGAAUCCGCGAUGAUCACCUUGUCACUUUCUCUGGUUUAUAUCAAACAGCUCACGCUCCAUCAGCACCACAGCUGAUAGCUCUAUUCCAGCAGCAAAAACACAAUCACCUCCAGCAUUGACUGGCUGUCGGUGUGAAAGAUAUGGCGUUUAUGAGCGCGAAGCUCGAGCGCUCUGGGGUCUGGAGUGUCCCAGCUGAGCAGGUCAGCACCAACAGGUCAGCGUCAACAGGUCAACGCCCACAGGUCAGCACCAACAGGUCAGCACCAACAGGUCAACGCCCACAGGUCAACGCCCACAGGUCAGCACCAACAGGUCAGCACCAACAGGUCAGCGUCAACAGGUCAACGCCUCCAGGUCAGCGCCAACAGGUCAACGCCCACAGGUCAGCGCCAACAGGUCAGCGCCAACAGGUCAGCACCCACAGGUCAGCGUCAACAGGUCAACGCCUCCAGGUCAGCGCCAACAGGUCAACGCCCACAGGUCAGCGCCAACAGGUCAGCACCAACAGGUCAGCGUCAACAGGUCAACGCCUCCAGGUCAGCACCCACAGGUCAGCGCCAACAGGUCAACGCCUCCAGGUCAGCACCCACAGGUCAGCGCCAACAGGUCAGCGCCCACAGGUCAGCGUCAACAGGUCAACGCCCACAGGUCAACGCCAACAGGUCAACGCCAAGAGUCAACGCCCACAGGUAGGGGAGGUUGUUGUUGCACCAGGUUCCCUGCAGGAAAUCCAACGGGGGGAACGUUGCGGCCGUGAAGGAAAUAUUGGCAGAGCCAGACGUCGGGUUGCCAUGGCGACGCGCAUCAGCCAGGCUACUUUGCGAGAGAGAUUCUGACAAACGGAUCCGGCGGAACAGGCAGCGAGGUCGUGGGAUCACGUCCAGCCGGGGACGGAGGGACACGGGCUGCAGACAGCACGGACUCACAGACGGCUCCGUCCACAGGCCUGUUGCCUCUGAAUGAGGUGCACGAGGCACCAGUGUUCCUGAUUAUAGCAGAGCACGGUACAGCAUGUGCAGACUCUGAUUGGAACCAUGAUGCUGGCACACCUGCUGACAAUUAAAGCAAAGGCCGGGGCCGAGGCCUUUCCCAGUCGUGGAGCAUUAUCUUGUUUUGGUCUUGGACUUGUAUCACCGCCAUCUGCAUUUUGUUUUUACUGUACAUUUCUGCAGCUCCUCUAUUUGGUCUGGUCUGGAAUAUUUAAACGAUUCCAAUCACGCGCUGACAUCUCACGCGUCCUUCUUUUGGCCUAAAGGUUAGUCGGCUGCUCUGGAGACGAGGACGCAGCUGGUAAAGCUUUUACACCAUCUUAAUACAGUUUACCUUUAGUUAUGUGACGCAGCCCCGGCUCCGGGCUGUUUUACUACUUUUUGCUAUUAUCAAAUUUAUGAGCCUGACCGUGGAAAGCAGACUCAAUAUGCACUCAAUUUAUUUGUUAUGGCUUUUAAUGUGAAAAUAUUUAAUUGCUUUUGUCUUAAGUCAUAAAGCAUUCAUAAUGACUCCACUAGUAAUUCAGCACACGUGUCUUAUUUAAAUGACGAUUAAAAGAGCUUUUUUUCUCGAC